This 253-nucleotide ribosomal RNA is filed under the name uncultured bacterium. Its description in RNAcentral is "partial 16S ribosomal RNA". It matches the Rfam family "Bacterial small subunit ribosomal RNA", at positions 524 to 776 of the family's 1533-position model. The record is from RNAcentral.
GACGGCGGAUGCAAGCGUUAUCCGGAAUGAUUGGGCGUAAAGCGUUCGCAGGUGGCUGUUCAAGUCUGCUGUCAAAGACCGGGGCUUAACCCUAGAAAGGCAGUGGAAACUGAACGGCUGGAGUGCAGUAGGGGUAGAGGGAAUUCCCAGUGUAGCGGUGAAAUGCGUAGAGAUUGGGAAGAACACCGGUGGCGAAAGCGCUCUGCUGGACUGCAACUGACACUGAGGGACGAAAGCUAGGGGAGCGAAAGGG